GUUAAUUUAAAAGGACAAGCAAUUCAGGCUGGGCGCAGUGGCACACACCUGUAAUCCCAGAACUUUGGGAGGCUGAGGUGGGUGGAUCACCUGUGGUGAAGAGUUCAAGACCAGCCUGGCCAACAUGGUGAAACCCCAUCUCUACUAAAAAUACAAAAAUUAGCCGGGCAUGGUGGUGGACACCUGUAAUCCCAACUACUCGGGAGGCUGAGGCAGGAGAAUCACUUGAACCCAGGAGGCGGAGAUUGCAGUGAGCUGAGAUCACACCACUGCACUCCAGCCUGGGCGACACGGCGAGACUCUAUGUCAAAAGAAAAGAAAAGAAAAGAAAAGAAAAGAAAAGGACAAGCAAUUCUUCAAUCUUGGGAUAAAUGAAGACAUUGAUUGGAGUGUCAUAAAACUAAGAUGUGAGAAUUUUUGAAUUAGAAUUUUAAUUUUAAUACCUACUUUCAAGAGGAGGUAAGAACCAAAAGUUUUAAAGGGAAAAGACUGAAGAUGAGCAUGUUUCUUUGAAUUAUAAAACUUGGGUUUAAUACCACUAGACUCUAAAUUUCCAACCCUAGUAAUAUGGAAUAUGCUGUUGGAACUCAACGUGGUCGUUUGCUUAACUUUUUGUUGAUAUAAUCUGAAAUGAUAUUAAAUCUCACUGUGGAGCAUCAUAAAAACAACCUAUUUGUCAGAGAAGAGUAGGACAAUUGUCCUAUUAAAUUGGAAAACUGAAAAAGAAAAUUUAAAAACAGACUUCCAUUAUUGCAUUCAUAUGACAAAUACUUUUUGAGUGUCUGUGUCACUGGGCACUGUACUACCUUGUAACUACCUAGGCAGUCGGGGUAGGGAAUCCUCCUUGGGGAAGUACCCUUUGUAAGGCCAGGCACAGAGAAAAAGGAGGGUAAAGAGUGUGCUAGGUAAUAGGUAGAGGACAUGUACAAAUAGAUGGCUACUGAUUUUCAGUUGAUAACUAUGUCUAAUUAGGUGAAUACCAUCUUAUUCUAGCAAGAGUAUCAGAGUGCGUUCAUUCCUGAGGACCCUUUCCCUGGUGUUGAAACAAAUUAUCUCUAGCCUUCAGUACGAAAUAAAUUCCCUUUUGCUACAUUUCUGCCAAAUCUGAAGAAUCACAAUGGAUGAGUCUCAUGCCUAUUUCAAAAUGGUAUAGAGUCUCUGGGGGUUCAGUAUAUUUAACUUGUUUCCUCAUAAGUGUGACUUCAAGAUAUUGUUUCAUGCUGGAAUUGUAAAUUGUGAUUUAUCCAUUCUCUGUAGAAAUAUUAAAUAAAUCUGAAAAAACUCCAAAAC
RNAcentral lists this long non-coding RNA (1290 nucleotides) under Homo sapiens (human). RNAcentral's name for it is "non-protein coding lnc-SLC30A9-1:3". Lineage: Eukaryota; Metazoa; Chordata; Mammalia; Primates; Hominidae. The record is from RNAcentral.